RNAcentral lists this long non-coding RNA (5727 nucleotides) under Medicago truncatula (barrel medic). RNAcentral describes it as "lncRNA gene1724". Lineage: Eukaryota; Viridiplantae; Streptophyta; Magnoliopsida; Fabales; Fabaceae. The record is from RNAcentral.
GUUACCAUCCCCCAAGGCAAACACCUAAUGAUUGCUUAGCAUCGAAGCAAGUUUUUUUAACUUUGGAGUCUCCUCAAAAACCAAAGCUUUGAAAUGAAGAUCUCAAGGAGCUGUUAUUUCCCAUAUAAAACAAGGCAGCAAUAACCAGAACUGCAAUUAGAACCCACCACAUCCAUGGUUGAAUUCGUCUCUUACCACGGUUGCGAAUAGCCAUGGGUAAAGCUUUCACCUUGUUUUGUUUUGUGAAUUGAGAUGGUUUCACUGCUCGUUUUGUUACCUCAACUGGUUUCUCGAUCUGAUCAGAUUCUUCAAGAGUUCUUGUCAGAGUUUCAGAGCUAGGAGAAGCUGCAGCAUCUUGUUCUGUAUUCUCCACAGCAUCUUCAGUAGUAACUGUCUUUCUUUUUCCCUUCUUCUUUGCUCUUUUCUCCCUUUCCUGCACAAAUAGGCAUGGUUAUAUUAUAUAGCUGAAGAACUACCGGUAAAUGAAUUUUAGUUUAAGCUUAUUGACUAUUCACUCUGCAGUAUAAAAAAUAUUUACCAUGGUCAAUUAAUCACAUUUAAUUUAAUGGGAUAGACAUUUAGAAACAUUUAAUCACGACAAACGGAAAUCAUAAUGUAAUGUGAUUACAUGCGUAAUUAAACUAAUCAUUUUACGAGUUUAACUCAUAAUGUUAUUACCUUCUCUUUUUGCUCAGCUUCUUUUUGUGCCUUAUAGAGAGCCCUUUGUUGGGCCUUUUCGGCAUUACGCUUUUUCCUCUGCAGUGCCUCCUUAGCUUUCUCAAUUUCCUCUAGCCUUUUCUUUUCCUUCAGCUUUGCUUCUUCUUCCUUCUUCCUCGCCUGUUCAGCCUUUAAGAUCUGCUCGUCUUCCUCCUUUGUUCUCACAGGUUCAUUAGGUUCCUUCUCUUCAUCGGACUCAUCCCCCCAACGAGAAACUCGAUCUGCUGACUUCUUCUCUGAAGGAGCAAGUUUUGCAGGCUUUUUAGGUUUACUUGUCUGGCUUAUUUCAGGUUUUUGUACCACAGCCUUGGAAGCAGGUUCAUCCUUUGUAUUAACAGUAACAGGUUCUGUUGGUAUUGAUUUCUUUUGUUGUUCAGGGGUUGACUGCGAAACUGAAGAAUCAUUUUUGUAAGCUCUUUCAAUGAAGGCAGGAAUCAUGGGCGGCUCUUCACCAGGAUUAAGCGUUCGGCCAUCUAAAGUUUGCAGUCUCCUCACUGUACUCCUGGUGUUGCACCGGUAAUAGUCCUUUCUGAACUCAUCAUUCUUCAACAGCUCAUGCAUUCUCUCAGCCUGAAAGCUUAUUGGUAAGUGCCACAUUCAAGUUUAUUCGCCUAAUAAUACAGCGCAGUAAUAGAAUGAUAAACUCUACUCGUUUCAAGUGUAAAAAGGAUCACCUGAUCAAUACAUAAGCGCUCCACGUCCUCUUUCUUCCCCUGUGCUCCUAGUUCUUGCAGUCUCAUUGAAGCACUUCUGUAUUCCCAAAAAUAUUUGCUCUGCACAGUAUGGUGAACAAAACUAGGCUAAGCAUUUGCUAUUAGCAUUGUACAUUUUUAUAGAGUAAGUUAAAAAUGUUUUGAUUCUAGAACAGAAAAAAUUAUUAAAUUCAUCAAAGAUGUAUCACCAAAGAACACAUCAUCCUGCAGAACAACCUAGUUCAGCAGAUAAUAUUUUACGCUGUUAAAAAAAAAAAAAAAAGUUGAGGUGAUAUGUGUUUGCCUACUAACACUAGUCUCCAGACACUAUUCAGUGUAGCCUAGAUAAUACAGUAAUCCUGAAAAUGAGAUAUCCAUUGGGCCAACACAGCCUAAGCAUUAAAUUCUUUAAUCCACAAAGGUGUGUGGCAUUUGUUGCGUACUUUAAUGGCACAAGGAAACCACAAAGCAACAUAUUCCUUUUGCACUAGCUACUCAAUAAUCGAUUAUUACUUCAUGAGUACAUGGUUUUAAUUUCCUUAGACCAUCUAGAUUUCUACAAGCAACUAAACCAGUAUAAGCUAGUAUUGGAACUAAAAGCCCUAGAUUUGGCAUUAGUAUCAAAGUAAAUCUUCCUACCUUCCUCAUUGUGAAUAAGCACUCAAGUUUCAAAAUAUUAAAGCCAAAGCAAUCAAAGAGUAGAUUGUGUACUGUUAUGAUAAACAAAACAAAUACCUUUCUACAAUAUUUCCCUCAAGGAAAAAGGGCAGAAAAAACGGAAUGAAAUAGAUAGGAAAGAAAAAUCAAACCUUCUCAUGCAAUUGCCUUUUCAAAGUUUGUAACUUGACAAAUGCCUCUUGACGAGUGUCAUCAGCAGCGUUAUACCGAGCCAUAACCUCAUCCACUUGAUUACCUUCUUCCUCAUAUUUCUUCUUUGCUGCUUUAGUUAUUGCUUCUGCCUUCAGAAGAUUACUUCUAAGCACAUCCAAUUCCUUCCUCAAAAGCUGUAAUCGCUGAAAAUAUUUAAGUCAAAGACAAUGCUCAGUUAGUUAAUACAAAAGAUACAGGUAGUUAAUUCCAUUAAUUUGGGAAAUAUAAUUAAAAGCAACAUGAUUCUAGUACCUUAGUUUGCUCUUCCAUGCUUUCUUUGUCGUCGAGAGAUUGUGAUUGAUCCUGUUUUGCAAUAAUAUUAGACAGCUCGCCGCGAUUCUGCUUCAAUAGUUUGAUUUGGCGAAUCAAUUGCUUUUCUUCUUUUAGAGGCAGAGUUUCAUGCUGGAUCAUGUGUUCCAUGUUUCGAAUCUGAAAAUAAAUUACAAAUCUAGAGAUGUUAACACAACAAAACAGAUAUAAAAAUCAAAUCGUGAUAAAUAUCUCUGGACUACAAAAUGAGUGCAUUACCUUGCUAUCUAUGUCCCCGACAGAAAUUGCAUUGUUUAAUCUAUUCAUGGUGGAUUGAACUGAAUCCAUCUCUUGUCGUUUGGCUUUGAGCAACUCCCUAGCAGCUCUCUCUUCUUGUACUGCAGCUCUAAAUUCUUGAUUAUACUCUUUACGAAGGGCCUGAACAAAUUAAUCAUUCAAAAUAAUUAUCUAAAAUCAUAUACUGUUCUUCAUUUAACAGUGAUAUAUUCUAUUUUACCAAUCAAACUAAUAACAAUAUAAUAUAUUGUGUCGACUGCUUACCUUUUUAGCCUGGCUUUCAGUUCGAAUUUCGUCGCGGAUUUUAGUCUGCUCCUCUACUUGUUGAAGAGCAUGUUGAAUCUGCUCUUUUACAUUGUCAUCAUCAUCGUAUCUCGGAACCCGGACCAACCAAUAGAAUGGCCUCCUCACCACCUCAGAGCCCAUGUCCUGUGCAUCCACCACAUCGGUGGCAGAUGCAUCCACAGCAUCAGGGGCAGAUGCUUCUUGGGAUGUUUUCAAAUCUUCAUCUGUUGUCUGAUUGCUACCUUCAGCUGAAGUUUGAGCUUCAACUGAAGGUUCAGCUUCAAUAGAGGUCUCGCCUUCAACCAAAGUUUCAGCUUCAACUGAAGGCUCCGCUUCAAUUGAAAUUUCGGCUUCAACUGAAGUUUCAAUUGAUGUUUCGGCUUCGACCGAAGUUUCGGCUUCAACCGCAGUUUCAGUUUCAACUGAAGGUUCAACUUCUCUAUCGACAGCAUUGGUUUUCAAAUCUGCAACAUCAACAGAAGGCUUAGCCUCACUCUGCACUACAUUGUUCAAAACUUCAGCUUCACCCUCCACUAGUUCCGUUGAAGGUUCGGCUUCACUCUCCACCACCGUUUCAAUUGAAGGUUCAGCUUCACAUUCCACCACUGUUUCUGUUGAAGGCUCGGAUUCACUCUCAGCUGUUUCCUUUGAAGGUUCAACUUCAUCCCCAACUGCAUCGUUUUUAAUCUCAGAGACUUCAAUAGAUUCACCUUCACCCUUGACAGCAUUAUCUGAAGGUUCAGCCUCACUCUUCUCUUUAAUGUCUUUCACCUCAGAAGUAACAACAGAAGGUUCAUUUUCACCUUCACCAGCAGGUUCUGGUAUCUCAACAGACCUCUCCGAUUCGCCGACAUCAAGAGGAAUCACAUUCUCCUCAAUGCAUUCACUCACCUCAACCUCCGCCAAACCAUUAUCAGAGACAGGCUCAACCGGCACCUUCUCCAAACCAUUUUCAACAAUUGUAUCAGAGACAGACUCAACGGACACCUUCUCUAAAUCAUUUUGAGUAUCUACAUUAACAUCAACCGGAGUAUCCUUCUCAUCUGCAUGAUCACAAACUCCAUUAACAUCAACUGGAGUUUCAUUCUUCUCGACCGAUUCACUCACUUCAGCAUCAACCACGGUUUCCAAUUCAACUUCCCGAAUUUCGUUUUUCUCAGCUGAUUCACUCACUUCAGAAUCAACUGCAGUUUCCAAAAUUUCGUUCUUCUCAGCUGACUCACUCACUUCAGAAUCAACUGCAGUUUCCAAUUGAACAUCAAGAUUUUCAUUCUUCUGAGCUGAUUCACUCACUUCAGAAUCAACUACAUUUUCCAACUCAACAUCACAAUUUUCAUUCUUUGCAGCUGAUUCAAUUUCACCAUCAACUACAGUUUCCAAUUCAACAUCGUGAUUUUCAUUCUUCUCAGCUGAAGCUGAUUCACUCACUUCAGGAACGACACUUUCCAAUUCAACCUCACCAUUUUCAAUUUCGUUCUUCUCAGCUGAUUCAACUUCACCAUCAACUGCAGUUUCCAAUUCAACAUCACGAAUUUCGUUCUUUCCAUCGGAAAGAUUUUCGCUUUCGUGAUCUUUAGAUUCGGUGGUUCUUUCCACCACAUCAGAAUCAACCACCUCCACAGCAUCCGUAGAAUCAGCAACAUCAGCAACAGAAACCUCCUCGAUCUCUUUAACUCCGUUUUCAACACCUUCCAAUUCACGAUCACUCUUGUCCACGUCAGCAACAACAGCAUCGCAAAUCUCAUUCUUCUCAACGACACCGUUUUGAUCCUCCACCUUCACUUCUUCUUCUUCACGAAUCUCAUUUUCAACAAGAUUCUCCUUCUCCACCGCACAUUCCUUCAAUUCUCCACCGUUUUCAACAAUCACAAAUUCAUCAUCAUUAACGUUAUUCUCAUCAGAUCCCGAACCGUUUUCACAAAUCUUCUCUUCCCGCUCAACGACAUCAACCGUUGUCGUUUCACCGUUAGAAUUCAUAACCGUCACUUCAGAUUCGUUGUUAUGAUCCUCUACCGCUACUCCACCUUUACCGUUAGCGUCAACGGUAACGAUCGGAUCUGAAAGAACGGAAUCAGAAACACCGACAUUGCCGUUAACAGAAAUUUCCUUACCAUUACAAUGCUCUGUGAUCUUGUUGUUGUGAUUACGAUCUUCACUUUCACCUUCACCGCCUUCGACGCCGACGUCGUCGGUGUUAUCGGAAAUUUGUUUGCUGUGUACGUUCAACACCUCCUCCGCUGUCAUUGCGCUUCCUGAAAAAGCUCAAGAAAUUGAAAAGCGCGUUUGGAUCACAAUCAAAAUCAAGAUUAUAAUAAAAUUUGAAAUCGUGAUUUUGAAUAAAUCAAAGAAAAUUGAGAAAUUGCUUACGGAAGUGUAGAUCAAAGAAAAAAGAGAGAGAUGAAGGGAAAUAAGUUAGUUGGGUGGGAACACAGAAAGAGAUGUAGAUGCAGAUAAAUAGCCGACAGAGAAGAAGAGAAGAGAAAAUAUAAAUAAACAAGAAGAGAAAGGUAAUGUUAUUGGUAUUUAUAAAACUCUUAAUUAGAUUUUCAUUUUUCACUUUAUUAUCUUUUUAAUUUGAAUUUAUUGUUAUUGUUAUUACUUACGAUUCUGUUUUUUU